GAUGAACGCUGGCGGCGUGCCUAAUACAUGCAAGUCGAGCGAACAGACGAUGAGCUUGCUCCUCUGACGUUAGCGGCGGACGGGUGAGUAACACGUGGAUAACCUACCUAUAAUACUGGGAUAACUUCGGGAAACCGGAGCUACUACCGGAUAAUAUAUUGUACCGCAUGGUUCAAUAGUGAAUGACGGUUUUGCUGUCACUUAUAGAUGGAUCCGCGCCGCAUUAGCUAGUUGGUAAGGUAACGGCUUACCAAGGCAACGAUGCGUAGCCGACCUGAGAGGGUGAUCGGCCACACUGGAACUGAGACACGGUCCAGACUCCUACGGGAGGCAGCAGUAGGGAAUCUUCCGCAAUGGGCGAAAGCUUGACGGAGCAACGCCGUGUGAGUGAUGAAGGUCUUCGGAUCGUAAAACUCUGUUAUUAGGGAAGAAAAAAUGUGUAAGUAAAUAUGCACGUCUUGACGGUACCUAAUCAGAAAGCCACGGCUAACUACGUG
Molecule: ribosomal RNA, 497 nt
Filed under: uncultured bacterium
Lineage: Bacteria
Description: partial 16S ribosomal RNA
Rfam family: Bacterial small subunit ribosomal RNA
Source: RNAcentral